CUACGGGGUGCUCCAGUGAGGAAUAUUGCACAAUGGGGGGAACCCUGAUGCAGCAACGCCGCGUGGAGGAUGACGCAUUUCGGUGUGUAAACUCCUUUUAUAUGUCAAGAAAAUGACGGUAGCAUAUGAAUAAGCACCGGCUAACUCCGUGCCAGCAGCCGCGGUAAUACGGAGGGUGCAAGCGUUACUCGGAAUUACUGGGCGUAAAGGACGCGUAGGCGGGUUGGAAAGUCAGGUGUGAAAUCCUACAGCUUAACUGUAGAACUGCACUUGAAACUUCUAAUCUAGAGUAUGGGAGGGGGAGAUGGAAUUAGUGGUGUAGGGGUAAAAUCCGUAGAUAUCACUAGGAAUACCUAAAGCGAAGGCGAUCUCCUGGAACAUUACUGACGCUAAGGCGUGAAAGCGUGGGGAGCAAACAGGAUUAGAUACCCCGGUAGUC
Molecule: ribosomal RNA, 439 nt
Filed under: uncultured bacterium
Lineage: Bacteria
Description: partial 16S ribosomal RNA
Rfam family: Bacterial small subunit ribosomal RNA
Source: RNAcentral